Molecule: long non-coding RNA, 319 nt
Organism: Xenopus laevis (African clawed frog)
Lineage: Eukaryota; Metazoa; Chordata; Amphibia; Anura; Pipidae
Exons: 3
Source: RefSeq, a predicted model, not a curated record
GGGGGAUGGAGAGGAGAGUGUCUAGAACAGCUGGUAGAAGAUAACCAAUGGGAGAUGGGAGACAGAGGAUGCUCCUCUUCACCUACGUAUACGCAUGGUUGCUAGGGUCCAAGUUAGCCUAACAACCAGGAAGUGGUUUGGAUUAGAAGAGUCAGGAGACUGGAAGAUGAAGCAGAGAGGGCCUCAAUAGAAAGGCCCUCCCAUACCCAUCAUCCAUUGUAAUGCUGAAGCCACUAGGAUGAGUGAUGAGUGGAACAGUUGGCAAAUGGCAGUUGGAAAAAUGGCAGUUGACAUCUACAGCUAAAGAGCAGCAGAGGAA